AUGCUUCUGUGCCAUGCAAUCAGAAAAGUUCCGCAACAUCCACUCGUAUGCCUGGCUUGUUUCAUGAGAAAUUAUACCACAGCCAAAAAUAACAGUGCUACGGUGGUGAUUCAACCCGACAAACGGCACGAAUGGCAGAUUGUAUUUGUUGGUUCUGUAUGUGCUAUCGAAAACAAUGACGUCUUCGAAAGCCUCGUAGUCAAGUCGCGACUGACUAUCGGCCCAGAACAGUCCCUUCAGAUGGCCAUGCUCGUCUACCAAGUACUUGAAGAAAAAAUCCACAUCUCGCUCUCGCCUCGCCAUCAUGUGCAUGAUCACCGUAUUAGCAUCACCGGCACUGAUUGUCUCCUGCUUAUUAGCAUGGCAGAAAUUAUAAACGUCCCUCUUUAUGCAUCCAACCUUAUCAAAUCCACCGUAUUGAAAGCACAAAAUAUCCAUAAUACGGUAUUUGCGGAUCCCACAUUUUUCCAUGUCCGCAAUGUCCGCUUCUGCUCAUCGCUAAUUCGUCUGUGCAAACACAGUAGACAAGAAAGAUCCCGUGGGGCUAGAGGAUGGUUGUGCUCAUCGAUGAAAUCCUUGACAAACCACCGACCGGUUUCCUCCUAUCUCGUAAUGACCAAUUUAGCAUUACACCCAACACGAGUUAAACUUCGUGGCCUCCUCUUUCUAUCUUCCAUCUUUCUUUUCAUGUGCUUCUCUUCGCAAAACCCUUGA
This 714-nucleotide ribosomal RNA is filed under the name Triticum aestivum (bread wheat). Its description in RNAcentral is "partial small subunit ribosomal RNA". The record is from RNAcentral. Lineage: Eukaryota; Viridiplantae; Streptophyta; Magnoliopsida; Poales; Poaceae.